GACGGGAGUGCUAAGGGCGUAUGGUGGAUGCCUAGGCUUCUAAUAGCGAUGAAAGACGUGGUAAAGCUGCGAUAAGCUUCGGGGAGGUGCCUGUCAACCUUUGAUCCGGAGAUUUCUGAAUGGGGAAACCUGACCUUUUAUAGGUCGUUACGAGCUUGACUUGUAAUGCUUACCCAGGGAAGUGAAACAUCUCAGUACCUGGAGGAAUAGAAAAAAAUAUUGAUUCCCUUAAUAGCGGCGAGCGAAAAGGGAGGAGCCCAAACCAAAUGUGCUUGCAUGUUUGGGGUUGUAAGACAAACACUUCUUAACGAGGAGAGUUACAAAAUCAAAUUUUAGUAGAAACAACUGGAAAGUUGUACCCCAGAGGGUAAUGGUCCCGUAUACGAAAAAAUUUGAUCUCUCUUGUGUUUGCUCUUGAGUAACUCGAGACACGAAUAGCUCGAGCGAAUCCGCCAGUACUAACUGGCAAGGCUAAAUAUAUUAGAAGACCGAUAGUGAACUAGUACCGUGAGGGAAAGGUGAAAAGUAGCCCGACAAGGGCGUUGAAAUAGACCUGAAACCAUAUGCCUACAAGGAAUCGGAGCGGACUUGAUCCGUGACGGUGUGCCUAUUGAAGAAUGAGCCAACGAGUUUAUAUGUACUGCAAGCUAAGGCCUUAGUCGGCUGGAGCUGUAGGGAAACCGAGUGUUAAUAGCGCGUUAGUAGUACGUAUAAGACCCGAAACCAAGCGAGCUUGCUAUGAGCAGGGUGAAGUUUAUGGAAACAUAAAUGGAGGCCCGAACCGGUAGGUAGUUCAACUCCUUCGGAUGACUUGUGGUAGGAAGU
Molecule: ribosomal RNA, 825 nt
Filed under: Candidatus Curtissbacteria bacterium
Lineage: Bacteria; Candidatus Curtissiibacteriota
Description: partial 23S ribosomal RNA
Rfam family: Bacterial large subunit ribosomal RNA
Source: RNAcentral